Molecule: long non-coding RNA, 435 nt
Filed under: Struthio camelus australis
Lineage: Eukaryota; Metazoa; Chordata; Aves; Struthioniformes; Struthionidae
Description: lncRNA (ENSSCUG00000004389.1)
Source: RNAcentral
AUGCUAGAGUGCAGAAGCUUUGGAAGGAACAACACAAAAAUGGCAUGUGUUGAUGACAGCAUCUAUGUUAGCAGGUUUUCAGCAUCUCAGCAGAUCUAUGUACAGCUUCUAAGGACACCCAGAUCAGGAGUCAAAGCACUCUCAGCUCCUAAACGAUACAGAAAAGUACAUCUAAAACCAACAUGUCAUUGUCAACCUAAGAACAACCCAGGAGACAUGCAAAUUAUCUGUAAGGACGGCUCUCUCAUCCCUGAAUCUGCCUAUGCUUCCUCUGCAAAGCCUAGACCCUCAAAGGCUUCUGUGUGCACAUCUCGAGUGUGGCAGGAGAAGGCUGGGCUGCCAUAUUCUCAGACCAUAGUAGGAAGAUGGACUUCUAUCGCUGCAACCUUAUCACCACGUCUGCAGGGCAGGAGUACUGCAGCCUUGGACUUGUAG